This 233-nucleotide ribosomal RNA is filed under the name uncultured bacterium. Its description in RNAcentral is "partial 16S ribosomal RNA". It matches the Rfam family "Bacterial small subunit ribosomal RNA", at positions 99 to 334 of the family's 1533-position model. The record is from RNAcentral.
CGGACGGGUGAGUAAUGUCUGGGAAACUGCCCGAUGGAGGGGGAUAACUACUGGAAAACGGUAGCUAAUACCGCAUAACGUCGCAAGACCAAAGAGGGGGACCUUAGGGCCUCUUGCCAUCGGAUGUGCCCAGAUGGGAUUAGCUAGUAGGUGGGGUAAUGGCUCACCUAGGCGACGAUCCCUAGCUGGUCUGAGAGGAUGACCAGCCACACUGGAACUGAGACACGGUCCAG